GAUGAACGCUGGCGGCGUGCCUAAUACAUGCAAGUCGAGCGAACAGACGAGGAGCUUGCUCCUCUGACGUUAGCGGCGGACGGGUGAGUAACACGUGGAUAACCUACCUAUAAGACUGGGAUAACUUCGGGAAACCGGAGCUAAUACCGGAUAAUAUAUUGAACCGCAUGGUUCAAUAGUGAAAGACGGUUUUGCUGUCACUUAUAGAUGGAUCCGCGCGGCAUUGGCUAGUUGGUAGGGUAACGGCUUACCAAGGCAACGAUGCGUAGCCGACCUGAGAGGGUGAUCGGCCACACUGGAACUGAGACACGGUCCAGACUCCUACGGGAGGCAGCAGUAGGGAAUCUUCCGCAAUGGGCGAAAGCCUGACGGAGCAACGCCGCGUGAGUGAUGAAGGUCUUCGGAUCGUAAAACUCUGUUAUUAGGGAAGAACAAAUGUGUAAGUAACUAUGCACGUCUUGACGGUACCUAAUCAGAAAGCCACGGCUAACUACGUG
RNAcentral lists this ribosomal RNA (497 nucleotides) under uncultured bacterium. RNAcentral's name for it is "partial 16S ribosomal RNA". It matches the Rfam family "Bacterial small subunit ribosomal RNA", at positions 28 to 507 of the family's 1533-position model. The record is from RNAcentral.